UGGGGGAUAUUGCACAAUGGGGGAAACCCUGAUGCAGCGACGCCGCGUGAGGGAAGAAGGUUUUCGGAUUGUAAACCUCUGUCCUUGGUGACGAUAAUGACGGUAGCCAAGGAGGAAGCUCCGGCUAACUACGUGCCAGCAGCCGCGGUAAUACGUAGGGAGCAAGCGUUGUCCGGAAUUACUGGGUGUAAAGGGAGCGUAGGCGGGAAGGCAAGUUGAAUGUUUAAACUAUCGGCUCAACCGGUAGUCGCGUUCAAAACUGCAUUUCUUGAGUGAAGUAGAGGCAGGCGGAAUUCCUAGUGUAGCGGUGAAAUGCGUAGAUAUUAGGAGGAACACCAGUGGCGAAGGCGGCCUGCUGGGCUUUAACUGACGCUGAGGCUCGAAAGCGUGGGUAGCAAACAGG
Molecule: ribosomal RNA, 403 nt
Filed under: uncultured bacterium
Lineage: Bacteria
Description: bacterial SSU rRNA
Rfam family: Bacterial small subunit ribosomal RNA
Source: RNAcentral